RNAcentral lists this ribosomal RNA (429 nucleotides) under Actinomycetes bacterium. RNAcentral describes it as "Actinobacteria bacterium partial 16S ribosomal RNA". It matches the Rfam family "Bacterial small subunit ribosomal RNA", at positions 355 to 776 of the family's 1533-position model. The record is from RNAcentral. Lineage: Bacteria; Bacillati; Actinomycetota; Actinomycetes.
UAGGGAAUCUUCCGCAAUGGGCGAAAGCCUGACGGAGCAACGCCGCGUGAGUGAUGAAGGUCUUCGGAUCGUAAAACUCUGUUAUUAGGGAAGAACAAAUGUGUAAGUAACUAUGCACGUCUUGACGGUACCUAAUCAGAAAGCCACGGCUAACUACGUGCCAGCAGCCGCGGUAAUACGUAGGUGGCAAGCGUUAUCCGGAAUUAUUGGGCGUAAAGCGCGCGUAGGCGGUUUUUUAAGUCUGAUGUGAAAGCCCACGGCUCAACCGUGGAGGGUCAUUGGAAACUGGAAAACUUGAGUGCAGAAGAGGAAAGUGGAAUUCCAUGUGUAGCGGUGAAAUGCGCAGAGAUAUGGAGGAACACCAGUGGCGAAGGCGACUUUCUGGUCUGUAACUGACGCUGAUGUGCGAAAGCGUGGGGAUCAAACUGG